This 1372-nucleotide ribosomal RNA is filed under the name uncultured bacterium. RNAcentral describes it as "bacterial SSU rRNA". It matches the Rfam family "Bacterial small subunit ribosomal RNA", at positions 28 to 1381 of the family's 1533-position model. The record is from RNAcentral.
GAUGAACGCUGGCGGCGUGCCUAAUACAUGCAAGUCGAGCGAACGGACGAGAAGCUUGCUUCUCUGAUGUUAGCGGCGGACGGGUGAGUAACACGUGGAUAACCUACCUAUAAGACUGGGAUAACUUCGGGAAACCGGAGCUAAUACCGGAUAAUAUUUUGAACCGCAUGGUUCAAAAGUGAAAGACGGUCUUGCUGUCACUUAUAGAUGGAUCCGCGCUGCAUUAGCUAGUUGGUAAGGUAACGGCUUACCAAGGCAACGACGCAUGGCCGACCUGAGAGGGUGAUCGGCCACACUGGAACUGAGACACGGUCCAGACUCCUACGGGAGGCAGCAGUAGGGAAUCUUCCGCAAUGGGCGAAAGCCUGACGGAGCAACGCCGCGUGAGUGAUGAAGGUCUUCGGAUCGUAAAACUCUGUUAUUAGGGAAGAACAUAUGUGUAAGUAACUGUGCACAUCUUGACGGUACCUAAUCAGAAAGCCACGGCUAACUACGUGCCAGCAGCCGCGGUAAUACGUAGGUGGCAAGCGUUAUCCGGAAUUAUUGGGCGUAAAGCGCGCGUAGGCGGUUUUUUAAGUCUGAUGUGAAAGCCCACGGCUCAACCGUGGAGGGUCAUUGGAAACUGGAAAACUUGAGUGCAGAAGAGGAAAGUGGAAUUCCAUGUGUAGCGGUGAAAUGCGCAGAGAUAUGGAGGAACACCAGUGGCGAAGGCGACUUUCUGGUCUGUAACUGACGCUGAUGUGCGAAAGCGUGGGGAUCAAACAGGAUUAGAUACCCUGGUAGUCCACGCCGUAAACGAUGAGUGCUAAGUGUUAGGGGGUUUCCGCCCCUUAGUGCUGCAGCUAACGCAUUAAGCACUCCGCCUGGGGAGUACGACCGCAAGGUUGAAACUCAAAGGAAUUGACGGGGACCCGCACAAGCGGUGGAGCAUGUGGUUUAAUUCGAAGCAACGCGAAGAACCUUACCAAAUCUUGACAUCCUUUGACAACUCUAGAGAUAGAGCCUUCCCCUUCGGGGGACAAAGUGACAGGUGGUGCAUGGUUGUCGUCAGCUCGUGUCGUGAGAUGUUGGGUUAAGUCCCGCAACGAGCGCAACCCUUAAGCUUAGUUGCCAUCAUUAAGUUGGGCACUCUAAGUUGACUGCCGGUGACAAACCGGAGGAAGGUGGGGAUGACGUCAAAUCAUCAUGCCCCUUAUGAUUUGGGCUACACACGUGCUACAAUGGACAAUACAAAGGGCAGCGAAACCGCGAGGUCAAGCAAAUCCCAUAAAGUUGUUCUCAGUUCGGAUUGUAGUCUGCAACUCGACUACAUGAAGCUGGAAUCGCUAGUAAUCGUAGAUCAGCAUGCUACGGUGAAUACGUUCCCGGGUCU